UUUUGCAACAGUAUGCAUGACCAAUCCAAUACAGAACAUUUGUUCAGGAGUGGUCUUUCUACAAACAGCUUAAAAUGCCUUACAACAAUCAGUACUAGCAAGGUUCGUUUUACUGAUUGGGGGAAGCUGGUGCAUUGGGCUUGGAGUGGUUUUGUGUGCUGCUGUCUCAUGUCUCAUAGAAGAGCAAGAGUGGCUAGACAACAUGUGAAGAAGCACUACUCUAGAUUACCUCAGAUGGCAACUAUGUGCCCUGAACUGCUGUGAGGGUAUUUCUGGGGUCAUCAGCCAUCCCAUGGGGAAAUGAGUCAGCAAAAGCGAGCCUGAAGUUUUGUCCUUACCCUUUGCUGCCUGGCCACAGCACAGCUGCAUGCGGUGAAGGUGACGCAGUCAGAACUUGGCAAAAUAGAAGCUGUGCGUCAUUUAACUUACCUAGGUGAUUGAUGGAGCAGAAAAACUAACGACCCAUGAAGGAACAAAUAUUUCUCAAACAAAAGGUAAAUAAAUCUGAUAAUGGAGCUGUAAGGAUGGGUGAAAAUCAGAGGUUGUAAGUGCCCUUAAAUCCCCCUGAAACUGCAGCCUCAGACCUUCUGCAUGAAUUUCUAUGGGGAGAAGAAAAGCAAUAACUUUGGGAGUGUCGAAAGCUGUGAUGCAGAGAAAAUUAAUGUUUACAUCAUUUUUAAAUGCAUACAGUUUGUAAUACACAUUGAGAGCUAGCUGAGGACAAAAUUGCAAAAUGCAUUGUAUUGUAAGUGCAAUGGCUGCAGAGAGCCCCCGGGUCAUACUGACGGGAUGGCACAUCAGCUGGAUCCAACGGUGCCCUAAGAAUUCCUCAUCAAGGUGUGUUUAAACUCCGAGAAUACAAAAUCAUUUUCCAUUGAGUAUGAUAGCUACAUAGUCAUUUUUAGUGUUCUCUUUUCUCAUGCUAUUCGCUUUAUUGCUGUCCACCUUGGGAUUUCUGGUACUAUGGGAUUUCUUACUGGGCUGAUGCUUGGCCAAUAUUUGUCCGACUUCUCUUUUAUUUGUCUGCUGUGAAAACUGUCUGAAACUAAGCAGAAACUAACCUUAAUUUAUUUCUUUAAUAAACAAAAUUAAGAUACUGCAUAUUAAUAAAAAUGAAAAGUAUUCCCUUGCUGGUUUUCUUUUUUUUACUUUUUUUUUUUUUUUUAAGUUUCCCAAAACAGUCCCAUAUCUCUGUCAAAGUUAAUGUAACUAGAAUUUCCAUGGGAAUUUGUGUUGAUCUGGGGAAACUGGAACUGGCUAAUGGAAAUAACUAUAGCCCAUCCUCCAACUACUGUUCAAAUCACCUUGUGAGAGAGAAACGGGCUUUAUUUAAAAGCAAGUGUCAAAAUAUUUCUUGUGGACUACAGCUAGCAUGGGAUACAAAAACUUUACAGGAACAUUCUGUGGAAAACAGAGACAGAAAUGAGUCUAAUGACAAAUCAUGACUUAAGUUUCAUGAAACUCUAUAAAAAACCUGUUUUUUUGAGUUGUAUGGAGUCCAAAAUUAACAAAAAACACUACUAGGACAUCUCAUUCUUUUACAAUUUUAUGACUAACUUCCUUGAGAAGAUGCAAGAAAACGCUACAUAGGCAAAUAUUUUUACAGACUGACAUUUCUGUUUCCUUUAAUAAGCCUAAGAAUGUAAAAUACGUCUUUAAGAAGUACCUAGCCUGUUUGUUUCUGCUGAGAUGGCACCGGGAAUUAACUUCCCAGUCCCUUGAAAAAGUCCCCAAACAUCCAGAAAACAACCACCUUUGAUAACAAAACUCUCCAGCACCUUCUGCAUAUGGCAACUUAAUUUUACUGUCAGUAGAAGCUUCACAGCAUGAAAAUAAGUUAAUAUUAGGUGUUAAAUAUCGGUAAAUAUAAUAUUAAAUGAGUUCUCAUUGUAUGAAUAGAAUGUGUUUUAUCUAAUGGUACUAGGCAAACUCUAAUACGACUGCUAUUAUGGAAGGACACAAUAACACGCAAAAAGAUUGAGAAUACAUGAUUGGAAAUGUUUAUGAUUUUAAAGGAUAUUUCCAAAUAUGUCAUCACAAAGAGUUUAAUUAGUCAGAUAGUGAGAGCCUGUCUUUCCUUUGUAACUGUUUUUCAGUUCUACUCCUCAACCAGUGGCUAAGAAAUUCUGCACCAACAGAAGCUAGCAGCUUCCCCCUAGAAAGACAUACUGUUAGUUCAGAGGGACAACCACAUAUGAACUGGUACUAGCAUCCCCAGAUAGGAUAUUUGGCAGGAAAUCAUGAGCAUGGCAAUGUGAACAACAGGACAUUCAGAGCCAGGCAAUGGACAGCUGAAAACUGCACAGCAACGGCAAGAGUGUUAACAUUUGAAGCAAUGUAUGUCUAGUUGCUCUCAUUACAAUUUGGAAAAGAGGGUUAUAUCAGACUUUUCAGAAAGCUGGUGUUGGUUUUGGACCUUAAUUUGAUACAGGAUAACUAAGCUCAGUAUCAAGAAAUAGUAAGUAAUGGAGUACCCCACAUUAGAAGCAAUGAAUCAGCCACAGACAACACAAAAUAGGCUAUUCUCACAAAGAUAGUCUUGAGCCAAAAGACUGUAAAACAGGAAUGGAAAUCUGAGAGAUGAUUUUACAAAAGGUAUGGGCUUUCAGCCUCCGUAGGGCAGUAUAGAGUACUGCAGUUUCUGUGGCACUUCAAUGAGAUCAGAAAACCUCCUGAAAGGAUAAAUCCUGAAAACUGCCAUGAAAGUGAUCUUCGGUCCUCUUAGUACUGUCCCUUGUCUCAAGGCAGGAUCAACUUUACUUGAACUGUUCUUGAAAUAUGCUUGUCUAGCCUGCUAUUAAAAUUUCCAGCAAUGGAAAUAAUCCUAUCCUCCUAGGUAAAGACGGAGUUGACCUUCUCUCCUAAGUACAACAUUAUUUUGCAAUGUAAUCUAAUGGUCAUGCCUUCUAUAACGACCUGUUUUGUCAAAUUUACAUUUUCUAGACUGAGUUAUUUCAGUCUUUCCUCACAUGUCACUCUCAUCAGUCUCUUCUUGACUCUGUCCAAUUGCUCUACAUAAGCAGUUCUUCCAACUAGACACGCUUCAGCUGAGAUUCCAUCUCAUGCAGAAGAACUAUGAGUUACUUCAUGUCUUGGAUAUGACACUCCUGCUUAUAAAUGCCAGUGUAAUACCUUUUUUCACAACAAUAUGACAUUUCUGACACAUUCCCAAUUUGUGAUUGACUAUAAUCCUCAGGGUUCACUUUUCAGACCUACUGCCUAGUCAUCUAGCUGCUGCCUUGUCAUUGCUGUCUCAUCAUAAAAAGAGAAAUCCAGACAUUCGUGAAAGCAUCUGUACAAUCACUGAUAUUCUAAAAAAAAAAAAAAAAAAUAUAUUGUCAUGACUCGUCUUAAAGAGAGCUUGUCCUUCAGAUAGCAAAUAUUCUGGCUGAAGAACAAUCUGAACUUAUAAUCAGAAAAAGAAACAAGAACAGAUAUGUAUUCUGCAUGUUCAGUUGAAUAAAUUAGUGUGAUUUAGUUAAUUGACUGAAUGGCGUAUACUGUGGUUUCCCUCUCAAGGCUGUAUGAAGAUAAUGAGAUGUGGAGAAAAGCAACUGACCUAUAGUUUU
This is a long non-coding RNA of Anas platyrhynchos (mallard), 3569 nucleotides long. RefSeq lists it as uncharacterized. Lineage: Eukaryota; Metazoa; Chordata; Aves; Anseriformes; Anatidae. The record is from RefSeq and is a predicted model, not a curated record.